AGUCUACCGAGGAGGUACCAACAGUCGUAUUAGAGGCCAUGAUUAAUGAACCAGCUUGAGAGGAAAAAAACAGUUUCGACAAGCAAAGUAUAGCGGUACCAGAUACUCACCUACAAAGCAUACAAUAUUCAAAUAAGGACAGGGUUACCCUCCUUCUUCGCGACCGGAGAAGAUCGGCCUUCAAUCAACAGAGAAAACCCUAGGUCCAACACUGGAAAUCCUAGGUUCUGAAACUCACCAGAAUAAAGUCACAGA
Molecule: long non-coding RNA, 255 nt
Filed under: Nicotiana benthamiana
Lineage: Eukaryota; Viridiplantae; Streptophyta; Magnoliopsida; Solanales; Solanaceae
Description: long non-coding RNA (NBEN_LNC039429)
Source: RNAcentral